UGAGGAAUAUUGGUCAAUGGACGAGAGUCUGAACCAGUCAAGUAGCGUGAAGGAUGACUGCCCUAUGGGUUGUAAACUUCUUUUAUACGGGAAUAAAGUGAGGCACGUGUGCCUUUUUGUAUGUACCGUAUGAAUAAGGAUCGGCUAACUCCGUGCCAGCAGCCGCGGUAAUACGGAGGAUCCGAGCGUUAUCCGGAUUUAUUGGGUUUAAAGGGAGCGUAGAUGGAUGUUUAAGUCAGUUGUGAAAGUUUGCGGCUCAACCGUAAAAUUGCAGUUGAUACUGGAUAUCUUGAGUGCAGUUGAGGCAGGCGGAAUUCGUGGUGUAGCGGUGAAAUGCUUAGAUAUCACGAAGAACUCCGAUUGCGAAGGCAGCCUGCUAAGCUGCAACUGACAUUGAGGCUCGAAAGUGUGGGUAUCAAACAGGAUUAGAUACCCUGGUAGUCCACACGGUAAACGAUGAAUACUCGCUGUUUGCGAUAUACUGCAAGCGGCCAAGCGAAAGCGUUAAGUAUUCCACCUGGGGAGUACGCCGGCAACGGUGAAACUCAAAGGAAUUGACGGGGGCCCGCACAAGCGGAGGAACAUGUGGUUUAAUUCGAUGAUACGCGAGGAACCUUACCCGGGCUUAAAUUGCAGAUGAAUUACGGUGAAAGCCGUAAGCCGCAAGGCAUCUGUGAAGGUGCUGCAUGGUUGUCGUCAGCUCGUGCCGUGAGGUGUCGGCUUAAGUGCCAUAACGAGCGCAACCCUUGUUGUCAGUUACUAACAGGUUCCGCUGAGGACUCUGACAAGACUGCCAUCGUAAGAUGUGAGGAAGGUGGGGAUGACGUCAAAUCAGCACGGCCCUUACGUCCGGGGCUACACACGUGUUACAAUGGGGGGUACAGAGGGCCGCUACCACGCGAGUGGAUGCCAAUCCCCAAAACCUCUCUCAGUUCGGACUGGAGUCUGCAACCCGACUCCACGAAGCUGGAUUCGCUAGUAAUCGCGCAUCAGCCACGGCGCGGUGAAUACGUUCCCGGGCCUUGUACACAC
RNAcentral lists this ribosomal RNA (1032 nucleotides) under uncultured bacterium. RNAcentral's name for it is "bacterial SSU rRNA". It matches the Rfam family "Bacterial small subunit ribosomal RNA", at positions 355 to 1390 of the family's 1533-position model. The record is from RNAcentral.